Long non-coding RNA from Hemicordylus capensis (graceful crag lizard), 463 nucleotides. RefSeq lists it as uncharacterized. The record is from RefSeq and is a predicted model, not a curated record. The transcript is spliced from 2 exons. NCBI's taxonomy places the organism in Eukaryota, Metazoa, Chordata, Lepidosauria, Squamata, Cordylidae.
UUGUAGUCUAAGAAGGGAAAGAGGAGCGAAGGGCUGGGGAGAACGCUUGCCCGCGCGAGCGGACGCCCGCCGUCCCGACAGGCCCCGCAGCGGGCCGGCCGGCGUUGCCUUUCGGGAAUCGUAGUUUCUCCAGGCAGAAGGGGAGGGCUGGGUGAGGCAUGCCAAGCUCGGUGAGUGUCCCGGCAUGGCGCUGGCAUUCAACUCAGAGGUGUCUAGGAUCAACGUCUGCUUUCCCAUGUCGGCUGACAGCUGCCUCCCACUCCUGCUUAGGCUGCACAUUAUUCGCAAAGAGGCGGAAAGGAAGGAGCAGAUCCUGUCUCCCUUGCCUAACCUACGCGAAACAUGAUUAUUAAUCAUCGCGAGGAAUGUAUUCAGGCUUGGAAUUGCAUCUUGGCAGCCCUUGGCACCAGCCUUGACUUCUCAGGCAGCUGCAUCCAGUAAAGGCGUGUGCAACCUCUUCACA